Molecule: non-coding RNA, 72 nt
Organism: Coffea eugenioides
Lineage: Eukaryota; Viridiplantae; Streptophyta; Magnoliopsida; Gentianales; Rubiaceae
Source: the annotation of a RefSeq genome assembly
GGUGCCAUGGUCUCGCGGUUAGGACAUGGGACUUUGAAUCCAAUGGCCCGAGUUCAAAUCUCGGUGGGACCU